CAUAAAACUUUUAUCAUAAGAUAUUAUUUACUAAAAUACAGGCAAAAGAUCCCGAAAGACAAACGACUAUUGAUACUAUAAUCUUUAAAGGCAUUGUCUUACGGUUUGGCAGUACAAAACGCAGAUUAGACAACAACAAAAAAUAGCUGUUAAAAGUUCAUUACGUGGACUUUUUUUCUUCAUUAUUUUUAUUUACCGGCAAUUAUUAGCCAAAACAUGUUUCGUAUUUUUUUGGUGAUCUUUUAAAAAGACACGUUUUUGCUCUAGAGGUUUGCCGGAGAGCCAUUUCCUCGUAGAAUGACGUCAAUAUCGAUAAAGGCGAAACGCACCCCGGAGCGCUAUUGUGAGGAUCUUUCUCUCCGCUGAUACCCGGCCGGAGCGCGGCUGGACCCGAGCUACCUCCCCGCGGAACUCCCGCUGGAAUGGUUUGAGCGCGCGGAGCGCGGCAGAGGACGCACAAGGCCGACGACAGACGAAAUGAUGCGAGCUCAGGCAGCAGCCAAUUAAAAUGCGGCUUCCAUCCCUCCACAUCUGCCUCCCUUUACAAACGAAUCAAACAGAAAAGCAGGAACCCAGUGAAAGAGCGCUCAUUGAGAUCACAGAUGGAGUAUAGGUUUUUGCAAGAAAUUUGAGAAACACCAUUGUCCCAAAUCCAAACUCAAUGUGGUCCCUCACAAUGGUUGGGGCUUUGAGCCGCGCCGACUCAAUUGGCCUUGUUUUUUAAACUUGAAGUGUUGAGCACAAAGACCGGCCUCCUAAAUGUCACAACCGCUCCGAGUGGGGCUCUGCAGCGCGAUGCUGCCUGAAAAAAAAAAGAGAGAAAAAGAACACAAUUAUGAAGCAAUAAUUACUCUGCUUCUCUUCGCACGCCACUGCGUCUAUUCAGGCCCCUUUAGCCCCAUUUAAUGCUUUAUCCUCGUCCACGAUAAUCCGAAUACCACAGCUUUAUUAUUUUUUCUUCUCCCUUGCAGAAUUUUCUUAUGAGACGGGAGUGGGAAACGGGGAUUGUGCUAAACCGGACAAUGGCCGUGUCGACUUACUUUUUUAAUAUCGAAAGAUUAAUGCUUAGCGUCACAGCCGAGAGCUCGCGAUACGAAAUGUAUAUUAAACUCAUUUAUUGAAACGGAUGUAAAAUAUUACGUUUGUUUUUAUUUAUUUGUCGCAUAUUUAUUAAGCAGCACCGUAACUGAUACAAAUAAAAAUAUUGUUUUAAUUAAAAGUGUUUUUUGGGGGAGUAUAGGCUUUUUUUAAAUGUUUUUUUUUUUUAAACGUAUAAAAAUGCUGAAAAUGUCAAGGACAACCGUAGACUAUAAUUGCUAAUAAUACAAAAUAAUUAAAUAAACGACAACAAAUACAUCACAUGUUUAAAAAGUAGCCUAUAUUAUGUAUCUAUGAUUAAUAUAGCAGAUAUAAAACACCAAUUUUCAUUCAGUGUGAAAAAAAGAGCACUUUUUUUGACUGACUAUAGGCCAACGUUUAAGUUAUUAAGUUAUUUGCAGGACUGUGUAAAACGCACUACAUAAAAGAGCUUCUUCUUUCGUUAUCUUGAAGAUUUGUCUUAUUGCUUUGCUGAGUACUAAUUUUUGUAAAGUCGUCUUAAUAUGUAUCGAAUAUCCACGAAGAAAACUGUUUAAUGAGUCCGUUCAUAUCACUAGACGUUGUA
Puntigrus tetrazona (Sumatra barb) is the source of this 1663-nucleotide long non-coding RNA. RefSeq lists it as uncharacterized. Lineage: Eukaryota; Metazoa; Chordata; Actinopteri; Cypriniformes; Cyprinidae. The record is from RefSeq and is a predicted model, not a curated record. The transcript has 3 exons.